UUUGAAUGAAAUAUUCUAGUGUCAGACUUAACGUCGCAAGAUUUUCCAUUCUUGUUCUAUUACAGAUAUUACACUGUAAUAUUUUUCGUCAUACUAGAUUCAUUAUGAAGCAAAUUAUUAGCCAGUUCAGUAACAUUGCACGUGCAAUCCGUGAUAACGCUUUUCGUUUUAUUACAUUUCAAAAGUAUUUUACCUCGAUAUUUAUAAAUAUGCAUCAAAUCAGCUUACAAGUUAAGCCUUGUAAUAUAAUGUUAAUUCGUUUCGCCGAAUACGACAUCAAUCCUGUUGAUGUGGUUGUUGUAUAACAGGGGUGGCCAACCUUUUUGGGAAGAGUGCCACUAUCUGAAGAAAAAAAUUAUGCGUGCAACUUUCAACUUUUCCAACAUACUAAAAAAUAUAAAUAGGUAAAAAAAUAUUAUUUAUAGGCUGAUUAUGGGAUUUUUACGCAAAGAGCACAUUUUUUCAUGUAAUUCUGAGUACUGGAG
Molecule: long non-coding RNA, 485 nt
Filed under: Androctonus crassicauda
Lineage: Eukaryota; Metazoa; Arthropoda; Arachnida; Scorpiones; Buthidae
Source: RNAcentral